UAAGAAGUUUUAUUCUGAAUCUGAGGAAGAGGAGGACUCUUCUGAUAGUAGCAGUGACAGUGAGAGUGAAUCUGGAAGUGAAAGUGGAGAACAAGGCGAAAGUGGGGAGGAAGGAGACAGCAAUGAGGACAGCAGUGAGGACUCCUCCAGUGAGCAGGACAGUGAGAGUGGAAGGGGGUCAGGCCUAGAAAACAAAAGAACAGCCAAGAGGAACUCAAAAGCCAAAGGAAAAAGUGAUUCUGAAGAUGGGGAGAAGGAAAAUGAAAAAUCUAAAACUUCAGAUUCUUCAAAUGACGAAUCUAGUUCAAUAGAAGACAGUUCUUCCGAUUCUGAAUCAGAGUCAGAACCUGAAAGUGAAUCUGAAUCCAGAAGAGUCACUAAGGAGAAAGAAAAGAAAACAAAGCAAGAUAGAACUCCUCUUACCAAAGAUGUUUCACUUCUAGAUCUGGAUGAUUUUAACCCAGUAUCCACUCCAGUUGCACUUCCCACACCAGCUCUUUCUCCAAGUUUGAUGGCUGAUCUUGAAGGUUUAAACUUGUCAACUUCCUCUUCAGUCAUCAGUGUAAGUUGUUUUUAAAAUCCACCAGCUCGGUUUUCUUAUGUUGCCAUUGUAUCUUUUUUAUUAAAAUGUAAAUACUUGAAGUGGAUUCUUAGUUUUGAACAGAUUCUUCUCUAAGAACAAGCCCAAUUUAGCUAAGACCUUUUAAUUUUUUAAAUAAUUUACUCAAACCAUUAUCUUCUCAAUAUUUUUCCCUUGUUGUCCACACUUAAUUAUCAUCUGUAUGUUUUUCUCUGGUAUUGUUAUAUAUCUGUAACAUACAAAGGUUCUUCACCACAUUGACGCAGUACAUAUACCUGAACUGUGCCACAAAAAGUUGUCUACAUUAACAGACUUUCAUUUCCGUAAUCGUUUUAUUCCUACCACACUAUUUUUUCAUAGACUUAAAAAUUCAUGACUGUUUUUAUUUAAAA
This 972-nucleotide small RNA is filed under the name Pan troglodytes (chimpanzee). RNAcentral's name for it is "retained intron". Lineage: Eukaryota; Metazoa; Chordata; Mammalia; Primates; Hominidae. The record is from RNAcentral.